AACGAACGCUGGCGGCAUGCCUAACACAUGCAAGUCGAACGAAGGCUUCGGCCUUAGUGGCGCACGGGUGCGUAACGCGUGGGAAUCUGCCCCUCGGUUCGGAAUAACAGUUAGAAAUGACUGCUAAUACCGGAUGAUGACUUCGGUCCAAAGAUUUAUCGCCGAGGGAUGAGCCCGCGUAAGAUUAGGUAGUUGGUGGGGUAAAGGCCUACCAAGCCGACGAUCUUUAGCUGGUCUGAGAGGAUGAUCAGCCACACUGGGACUGAGACACGGCCCAGACUCCUACGGGAGGCAGCAGUGGGGAAUAUUGGACAAUGGGCGAAAGCCUGAUCCAGCGAUGCCGCGUGAGUGAUGAAGGCCUUAGGGUUGUAAAGUUCUUUUACCAGGGAUGAUAAUGACAGUACCUGGAGAAUAAGCUCCGGCUAACUUCGUGCCAGCCGCCGCGGUAA
This 449-nucleotide ribosomal RNA is filed under the name uncultured bacterium. RNAcentral's name for it is "partial 16S ribosomal RNA". It matches the Rfam family "Bacterial small subunit ribosomal RNA", at positions 29 to 523 of the family's 1533-position model. The record is from RNAcentral.